This 200-nucleotide unclassified non-coding RNA is filed under the name Lecanoromycetes sp. Its description in RNAcentral is "partial internal transcribed spacer 2". Lineage: Eukaryota; Fungi; Ascomycota; Lecanoromycetes. The record is from RNAcentral.
UUAAGUUCAGCGGGUAUCCCUACCUGAUCCGAGGUCAACCAUUGAAAAAUAGAUGUUGUCCGGCUGGAACGCCCGGGCGGCUCGAAGCGGGAGUAAUUACUACGCUCGAUCACCGGCCGCACCGCCGCUGUUUUCCAGGCGCGCCCCGGGGGGACGGCACCCAAUACCAAGCCAGGCUUGAGGGUUGUAAUGACGCUCGA